RNAcentral lists this ribosomal RNA (499 nucleotides) under uncultured bacterium. RNAcentral's name for it is "bacterial SSU rRNA". It matches the Rfam family "Bacterial small subunit ribosomal RNA", at positions 28 to 531 of the family's 1533-position model. The record is from RNAcentral.
GAUGAACGCUGGCGGCGUGCCUAACACAUGCAAGUCGAACGGGGUUACACGAGUAGCAAUACUUGUGCAACCUAGUGGCGGACGGGUGAGUAACGCGUGAGCAACCUACCUUCCAGAGGGGGAUAACACAGGGAAACCUGUGCUAAUACCGCAUAAAGUACAGUGGGGGCAUCCCUGCAGUACCAAAGGAGCAAUCCGCUGGGAGAUGGGCUCGCGUCCGAUUAGGUAGUUGGUGGGGUAACGGCUCACCAAGCCGACGAUCGGUAGCCGGACUGAGAGGUUGGCCGGCCACAUUGGGACUGAGACACGGCCCAGACUCCUACGGGAGGCAGCAGUGGGGAAUAUUGGGCAAUGGGCGGAAGCCUGACCCAGCGACGCCGCGUGAGGGAAGACGGCCUUCGGGCUGUAAACCUCAGUUAUACGGGACGAAGGAAGUGACGGUACCGUAAGAGAAAGCCACGGCUAACUACGUGCCAGCAGCCGCGUAAUAUAGCGUACU